This is a non-coding RNA of Phrynosoma platyrhinos (Desert horned lizard), 72 nucleotides long. Lineage: Eukaryota; Metazoa; Chordata; Lepidosauria; Squamata; Phrynosomatidae. The record is from the annotation of a GenBank genome assembly.
GCCAGUGUAGUAUAGUGAUUUGGGCAUUGGCCUAUGACCCUGGAGACCAGGGUUCAAUUCCCUGCUCAGCUG